CAGCAGCCACGGUAAUACGGAGGGUGCAAGCGUUAUCCGGAUUUAUUGGGUUUAAAGGGUCCGUAGGCGGACUUAUAAGUCAGUGGUGAAAGCCUGUCGCUUAACGAUAGAACUGCCAUUGAUACUGUAAGUCUUGAGUAUAUUUGAGGUAGCUGGAAUAAGUAGUGUAGCGGUGAAAUGCAUAGAUAUUACUUAGAACACCAAUUGCGAAGGCAGGUUACCAAGAUAUAACUGACGCUGAGGGACGAAAGCGUGGGUAGCGAACAGGAUUAGAUACCCGCGUAGUCCCUGUCUCUUAUAC
RNAcentral lists this ribosomal RNA (301 nucleotides) under uncultured bacterium. RNAcentral's name for it is "partial 16S ribosomal RNA". It matches the Rfam family "Bacterial small subunit ribosomal RNA", at positions 509 to 807 of the family's 1533-position model. The record is from RNAcentral.